UGGGGAAUAUUGCACAAUGGGCGCAAGCCUGAUGCAGCAACGCCGCGUGAGGGAUGACGGCCUUCGGGUUGUAAACCUCUUUUAGUAGGGAAGAAGCGAAAGUAACGGUACCUGCAGAAAAAGCACCGGCUAACUACGUGCCAGCAGCCGCGGUAAUACGUAGGGUGCGAGCGUUGUCCGGAAUUAUUGGGCGUAAAGAGCUCGUAGGCGGUCUGUCGCGUCUGCUGUGAAAACCCGAGGCUCAACCCCGGGCCUGCAGUGGGUACGGGCAGACUAGAGUGCGGUAGGGGAGAAUGGAAUUCCUGGUGUAGCGGUGGAAUGCGCAGAUAUCAGGAGGAACACCGAUGGCGAAGGCAGUUCUCUGGGCCGUAACUGACGCUGAGGAGCGAAAGCGUGGGGAGCGAACAGGAUUAGAUACCCUGGUAGUCCACGCCGUAAACGUUGGGCGCUAGAUGUGGGGACCAUUCCACGGUUUCCGUGUCGCAGCUAACGCAUUAAGCGCCCCGCCUGGGGAGUACGGCCGCAAGGCU
Molecule: ribosomal RNA, 530 nt
Filed under: uncultured bacterium
Lineage: Bacteria
Description: partial 16S ribosomal RNA
Rfam family: Bacterial small subunit ribosomal RNA
Source: RNAcentral